AACGAACGCUGGCGGCAUGCCUAACACAUGCAAGUCGAACGAGACCUUCGGGUCUAGUGGCGCACGGGUGCGUAACGCGUGGGAACCUGCCCUUAGGUUCGGAAUAACUCCCCGAAAGGGGUGCUAAUACCGGAUAAUGUCUUCGGACCAAAGAUUUAUCGCCUUUGGAUGGGCCCGCGUUGGAUUAGCUAGUUGGUAGGGUAAAAGCCUACCAAGGCGACGAUCCAUAGCUGGUCUGAGAGGAUGAUCAGCCACACUGCGACUGAGACACGGCCCAGACUCUUACGGGAGGCAGCAGUGGGGAAUAUUGGACAAUGGGCGAAAGCAUGAUCCAGCAAUGCCGCGUGAGUGAUGAAGGCCUUAGGGUUGUAAAGCUCUUUUACCCGGGAUGAUAAUGACAGUACCGGGAGAAUAAGCUCCGGCUAACUCCGUG
This 433-nucleotide ribosomal RNA is filed under the name uncultured bacterium. RNAcentral's name for it is "partial 16S ribosomal RNA". It matches the Rfam family "Bacterial small subunit ribosomal RNA", at positions 29 to 507 of the family's 1533-position model. The record is from RNAcentral.